This is a long non-coding RNA of Leopardus geoffroyi (Geoffroy's cat), 1305 nucleotides long. RefSeq lists it as uncharacterized. Lineage: Eukaryota; Metazoa; Chordata; Mammalia; Carnivora; Felidae. The record is from RefSeq and is a predicted model, not a curated record. The transcript has 4 exons.
GAAAUGAGCUCAUGCGUGUAAAUGGCCAGGCACCUGCUGUCUGCCAGACAAAUAGCAGCUGAAAUCGUGGCUCUUAAACUUGGUCUCUCUUGCCAGAUUAUGAAACAGAUUUUUUUAAAUGUUUAUUUGUUUAUUUUGAGAUAGCGCAAGUUGGGGCGGGGGGGGGGGGUGGGUAGAGGCAGAGGAAGAGAGAGAGAAUUAUCCCAAACAGGCUCCGCACUCCCAACGCAGACCCGUCCCGGGGGCUGGGGCCCACGAACCAAGAGAUCAUGACUGGAGCGGAAACCAAGAGUCAGACAUCCAACUGACUGAGCCACCCAGGCCCCAACAGAUUGUUUUUUUUUUUAAUUUAGUAAGUGAAUGAACGGCAGCAAAUCCCACAGUUAGGACAGCACCAAAGUUUCAAGACAAAAAUCACAGGAACCACUGAUGGCGCCCAGAGACAGAGCAGGAGUGGGGGAGGGGAAGAGAGAGAGGGAAACACAGAAUCUGAAGCAGAAUCUGAAAAGCAAGCUCCAGGCUCUGAGCUGUCAGCACAGAGCCAGAUGCGGGGCUCGAACUUGUGAACCCAGAGAUCAUGACCUGAGGAGAAGUUGGACGCUCAACUGACAGAGCCACCCAGGCGCCCCGUGAAUCGCUUUUAUUUCGGUAUGCAUCCACAUCUCAGCAUUUAGUGGUCCUGAACAGAAAAGUGGAAAAACGCAGCGAUUUGCCAGGAAGUCAAGCCCGCCAAUUUCGGGGAUCUGCUGUGCACACCGAGUUCUUUUUCAAUCCCUGCUGAGGACCGUGAGAAACAGCAGCACCAAAACCAAAGUAUGCACCGAAUUCAAGGUUCUUUUUGUUCCAGUUGCCACAUUCCAAACUAGACCCAAACGGAUUGCAAGAUGACCACAUGAGAACCCUGUGUAAAACUUCAAUUUUUAAAAGCAAAAGCAAUUACAAGAAAAGAAGAUUCAUUCAGAGGGAUCGUGUGUGCUUACAAGUGUCUUCUGUGGCCUUUCUCCAAGUUUAACCACCAAGAACUUUGAGAGCUGGCGGGUGUGAGUACCCCUGGUGACUGUUCUUUUCACUUUAUCAAAACCUGAGCUAAAAAAACGCAUCAGCUGACGAUGACAGCAGAGGGUGGCAGGGCUGAGGACCCAAUAUUCAUUCCCAGGCUGGUGGAGAGUGAGUAAAUGGGGUUCCAAAACUAAACGAGGGAAGUCAGAGACUCUUUCCAACCUUACCUGAUGACUUCUGGCCAAAGCAAGGAAGUAUUGUGGAAAGUGUUGGGUGGUGAUGGUACAUAAAGGGAUCAGAAGAGCA